UUGGGAACGAAGGUGAGAGGUGCCGGGUCCGCCCACGAGGGCAACAGCCUCUCUCUGAGAACCCUGGAAGGGCUGAGUAAACGUGCAGGCGCUCAGCUUCCUCUCUCCCCAUCGUCACGCACAAAAAGAAUGGGCCUUGAAAAGGAUGAGUUUAUUAUGCCACUUUUAAAUGACUAUUCAGAAAAGAUCAGGAGGCACAAUAAAAAAAUGCUUCCCACCCUGCCAAUUCCCUUCUCUUAAAGAAGGAAAAAGGAAAAAAAAAGAGAGAGAGAGAAAGCAACCCACAAAGGGCCAACCCAAGGGGCUAAUAAAACCUCUGAGAGCUGUUAUGCCCAAAUACAUUGCGUGCGGGAGUUUGUGAAAGCAACUUUGCAGAGUGCAAACCUUAGAAGAUGAAAAUACUCCGAAAAUCACACAAUCCUCUUCCAACCGAGGCGCCGCACUUUUCCAGCCCUCUAGGAUAAAGUUGUCUCAGGAAAAUAAAACUGUUGAUAAACCAUG
Panthera uncia (snow leopard) is the source of this 501-nucleotide long non-coding RNA. RefSeq lists it as uncharacterized. The transcript has 2 exons. Lineage: Eukaryota; Metazoa; Chordata; Mammalia; Carnivora; Felidae. The record is from RefSeq and is a predicted model, not a curated record.